Boleophthalmus pectinirostris (great blue-spotted mudskipper) is the source of this 891-nucleotide long non-coding RNA. RefSeq lists it as uncharacterized. The transcript is spliced from 4 exons. Lineage: Eukaryota; Metazoa; Chordata; Actinopteri; Gobiiformes; Gobiidae. The record is from RefSeq and is a predicted model, not a curated record.
GGCGUAGUGAUCGCAGAGAGAUACGCGCGGUGAAAACGUGGAGGUUGGCUGCUGGUGAUGCCGGUGGAAAGUGAUGGCGACGUUGGAAACACGCUCACGCACGACACGCACAAUGACACGUGUGAGAGGCAGAAACAGCGAGAGAGAGAGAGAAGAGCAAAGUUGAGCUUGACUUCUGGUCUGGCCGUGCUCGUAGUGUGUGUGUGCAGCGUAGAGGUCACAAAGUCCGGGCUAAACCAGCACUAAACCAGGCCUGAAGAAGAUUGAAACGAAACUGAGCGUAACAAGGACGAAAUCUGAGCUAAAACAAAACAAAAUAACGCGUGAAAAGGAGUUAAGAAACCCUAAAGCAGAUCUGAAAUUGUAGGCAUUUCUCUCAAUUAAACACGAGAUGAUUCACGGUUUUUAAAAUGUUUUUUGCGACGUUUCUAACAAUUUGCAUUAAGUCGUAAAUGUAAUCAACAACAAUCAACAUUUUACGACUGCAAAAGGGUGUAAAUGAGUGUGUAUCGAGGGUUUGGUGAUAAAAAAAAUACACUUAAACAUCAAGAAAUGCUAAAAAGAAACAGAGUGUAGGCCUACUGACUGUCACCGAGUGCGGUCGCCUGUGGAGACUUGAGCAUGCGCGUGGGCGUACGGUGGUCAUGAGAAGGUGGUUGACACUGACAGAACUUGUGAGACAUCCACGCUCCCCGGCCUCGUGGAAAGAAGGAACGCGUCACUCCAAACGCUUCUCAUAUACAAAUGAAAUGAUGAAGAAGAAGAAGAAAAGGAGAAGACAAUAGCAUCCAGAGCAGGGACAAAGCUGGAGUCCAGGCAAGUCCCCAACACUCCACAGCCAGAGUCUAUUCUACAAGGUGAGAGAUUUAAAUUCACAGAGUAAAUAGGUGU